AGAGUUUGAUCCUGGCUCAGAUUGAACGCUGGCGGCAGGCUUAACACAUGCAAUUCGAGCGGGGAAGGGUAGCUUGCUACCUGACCUAGCGGCGGACGGGUGAGUAAUGCUUAGGAAUCUGCCUAUUAGUGGGGGACAACAUUCCGAAAGGAAUGCCAAUACCGCAUACGCCCUACGGGGGAAAGCAGGGGAUCUUCGGACCUUGCGCUAAUAGAUGAGCCUAAGUCAGAUUAGCUAGUUGGUGGGGUAAAGGCCUACC
This 259-nucleotide ribosomal RNA is filed under the name uncultured bacterium. Its description in RNAcentral is "partial 16S ribosomal RNA". It matches the Rfam family "Bacterial small subunit ribosomal RNA", at positions 8 to 269 of the family's 1533-position model. The record is from RNAcentral.